UAAUAGCUCAGGCCGUAGGGCAUGAGACUCAUGAUCUCAAGGUUGUGGGUUCGAGCCUCACGUUGGGCAAAA
Non-coding RNA from Podarcis lilfordi (Lilford's wall lizard), 72 nucleotides. NCBI's taxonomy places the organism in Eukaryota, Metazoa, Chordata, Lepidosauria, Squamata, Lacertidae. The record is from the annotation of a GenBank genome assembly.